Molecule: non-coding RNA, 21 nt
Filed under: Caenorhabditis elegans
Lineage: Eukaryota; Metazoa; Nematoda; Chromadorea; Rhabditida; Rhabditidae
Source: RNAcentral
UUUUCUUUGAUCACACUCCUC